RNAcentral lists this unclassified non-coding RNA (379 nucleotides) under plant metagenome. Its description in RNAcentral is "partial contains 5.8S ribosomal RNA, internal transcribed spacer 2, and large subunit ribosomal RNA". The stretch from base 1 to 106 matches the Rfam family "5.8S ribosomal RNA", at positions 49 to 154 of the family's 154-position model. The record is from RNAcentral.
CGAAAUGCGAUAAGUAAUGUGAACUGCAGAAUUCAGUGAAUCAUCGAAUCUUUGAACGCACCUUGCGCUCCUUGGUAUUCCUUGGAGCAUGCCUGUUUGAGUAUCAUGAAAUCUUCAAAGUAAAUCUUUUGUUAACUCAAUUGGUUUCUACUUUGGUAUUGGAGGUCUUUGCAGCUUCACACCUGCUCCUCUUUGUUCAUUAGCUGGAUCUCAGUGUUAUGCUUGGUUCCACUCGGCGUGAUAAGUUAUCUAUCGCUGAGGACACUGUAAAAGGUGGCCAAGGUAAAUGCAGAUGAACCGCUUCUAAUAGUCCAUUGACUUGGACAAUACUUUUAUGAUCUGAUCUCAAAUCAGGUAGGACUACCCGCUGAACUUAAGC